AAGACAUUAAUAAAAUGAUUAUAUCAUCUUGUCAGGGUGAAGUUGCAGGUUAAAUCCCUGUAUGUCUUA
This 69-nucleotide transfer RNA is filed under the name Enteromius hulstaerti (butterfly barb). Its description in RNAcentral is "tRNA-Asp". It matches the Rfam family "tRNA". From Rfam's summary of the family: Transfer RNA (tRNA) molecules are approximately 80 nucleotides in length. Their secondary structure includes four short double-helical elements and three loops (D, anti-codon, and T loops). The record is from RNAcentral. Lineage: Eukaryota; Metazoa; Chordata; Actinopteri; Cypriniformes; Cyprinidae.